RNAcentral lists this ribosomal RNA (122 nucleotides) under Vibrio splendidus. RNAcentral describes it as "partial 16S ribosomal RNA". It matches the Rfam family "Bacterial small subunit ribosomal RNA", at positions 1426 to 1533 of the family's 1533-position model. The record is from RNAcentral. Lineage: Bacteria; Pseudomonadati; Pseudomonadota; Gammaproteobacteria; Vibrionales; Vibrionaceae.
GUGGGUAGUUUAACCUUUCGGGGAGGACGCUCACCACUUUGUGGUUCAUGACUGGGGUGAAGUCGUAACAAGGUAGCCCUAGGGGAACCUGGGGCUGGAUCACCUCCUUAUACGAAGAUACC